This 492-nucleotide ribosomal RNA is filed under the name uncultured bacterium. RNAcentral's name for it is "partial 16S ribosomal RNA". It matches the Rfam family "Bacterial small subunit ribosomal RNA", at positions 29 to 507 of the family's 1533-position model. The record is from RNAcentral.
AGUGAACGCUGGCGGUAGGCCUAACACAUGCAAGUCGAACGGCAGCACAGUAAGAGCUUGCUCUUACGGGUGGCGAGUGGCGGACGGGUGAGGAAUACAUCGGAAUCUACUUUUUCGUGGGGGAUAACGUAGGGAAACUUACGCUAAUACCGCAUACGACCUACGGGUGAAAGCAGGGGAUCUUCGGACCUUGCGCGAUUGAAUGAGCCGAUGUCGGAUUAGCUAGUUGGCGGGUUAAAGGCCCACCAAGGCGACGAUCGGUAGCUGGUCUGAGAGGAUGAUCAGCCACACGAGAGCGGAGACCCGGUCCAGAGUCCUAAGAGAGGCAGCAGUGGGGAAUGUUGGACAAUGGGCGCAAGCCUGCUCCAGCGGUACCGCGGGGGAGAAGGAGACCUACGGGUUGUAAAGCCCUUUUGUUGGGAAAGAAAAGCAGCAGGUUAAUACCCCGCUGUUCUGACGGUACCCAAAGAAUAAGCACCGGCUAACUACGUG